UGCAGUAAUGUGGAACAAGUGACAAUUUC
This 29-nucleotide non-coding RNA is filed under the name Homo sapiens (human). The record is from RNAcentral. Lineage: Eukaryota; Metazoa; Chordata; Mammalia; Primates; Hominidae.